RNAcentral lists this unclassified non-coding RNA (269 nucleotides) under Yuchengia narymica. Its description in RNAcentral is "partial internal transcribed spacer region". The stretch from base 1 to 46 matches the Rfam family "Eukaryotic small subunit ribosomal RNA", at positions 1786 to 1831 of the family's 1831-position model. Lineage: Eukaryota; Fungi; Basidiomycota; Agaricomycetes; Polyporales; Polyporaceae. The record is from RNAcentral.
AAGUCGUAACAAGGUUUCCGUAGGUGAACCUGCGGAAGGAUCAUUAUCGAGUUUUGAAACGGGUUGUAGCUGGCCUUCUUUGGCACCGUGCACGCCCUGCUCAUCCACUCUACACCUGUGCACUUACUGUAGGUUUCAGACGCGAUGCGAGUUUAGGCUCGCGGAGCUUAUGGGGCUUACGUUUCAACCACAAACGCUUCAGUAUCAGAAUGUGUAUCGCGAUGUAACGCAUCUAAAUACAACUUUCAGCAACGGAUCUCUUGGCUCUC